AUUGAACGCUGGCGGCAUGCCUUACACAUGCAAGUCGAACGGUAACAGGUCUUCGGAUGCUGACGAGUGGCGAACGGGUGAGUAAUACAUCGGAACGUGCCUAGUAGUGGGGGAUAACUACUCGAAAGAGUGGCUAAUACCGCAUGAGAUCUACGGAUGAAAGCAGGGGAUCGCAAGACCUUGUGCUACUAGAGCGGCCGAUGGCAGAUUAGGUAGUUGGUGGGAUAAAAGCUUACCAAGCCGACGAUCUGUAGCUGGUCUGAGAGGACGAUCAGCCACACUGGGACUGGGACGCGGCAAAGACUCCUACGGGAGGCAGCAGUGGGGAAUUUUGGACAAUGGGCGAAAGCCUGAUCCAGCAAUGCCGCGUGCAGGAUGAAGGCCUUCGGGUUGUGAACUGCUUUUGUACGGAACGAAAAGCCCCGGGUUAAUACCCUGGGGUCAUGACGGUACCGUAAGAAUAAGCACCGGCUAACUACGUGCCAGCCGCCGCGGUAA
RNAcentral lists this ribosomal RNA (498 nucleotides) under uncultured bacterium. RNAcentral's name for it is "partial 16S ribosomal RNA". It matches the Rfam family "Bacterial small subunit ribosomal RNA", at positions 30 to 523 of the family's 1533-position model. The record is from RNAcentral.